AUGAACGCUCGCGGCAGGCCUAACACAUGCAAGUCGAGGGGUAGAAGGAGCUUGCUCCUUUGAGACCGGCGCACGGGUGCGUAACGCGUAUGCAAUCUACCUUGUACAGGGGAAUAGCCCAGAGAAAUUUGGAUUAAUGCCCCAUAGUAUAUAACCUUCGCAUGUUGGUUAUAUUAAAGUUCCAACGGUACAAGAUGAGCAUGCGUCCCAUUAGUUAGUUGGUAAGGUAACGGCUUACCAAGACGAUGAUGGGUAGGGGUCCUGAGAGGGAGAUCCCCCACACUGGUACUGAGACACGGACCAGACUCCUACGGGAGGCAGCAGUGAGGAAUAUUGGUCAAUGGUCGCAAGACUGAACCAGCCAUGCCGCGUGCAGGAAGACGGUCCUAUGGAUUGUAAACUGCUUUUAUACAGGAAGAAACCCUCCCACGUGUGGGAGCUUGACGGUACUGUAGGAAUAAGGAUCGGCUAACUCCGUG
This 479-nucleotide ribosomal RNA is filed under the name uncultured bacterium. RNAcentral describes it as "partial 16S ribosomal RNA". It matches the Rfam family "Bacterial small subunit ribosomal RNA", at positions 29 to 507 of the family's 1533-position model. The record is from RNAcentral.